ACUCCUACGGGAGGCAGCAGUGGGGAAUAUUGCACAAUGGGGAAACCCUGAUGCAGCCAUGCCGCGUGUGUGAAGAAGGCCUGGUUGUAAAGCACUUCAGUAGGGAGGAAGGUAGUGUAGUUAACACCUGCACUAUUUGACGUUACCUACAGAAGAAGCACCGGCUAACUCCGUGCCAGCAGCCGCGGUAAUACGGAGGGGUGCGAGCGUUAAUCGGAAUUACUGGGCGUAAAGCGCAUGCAGGCGGCCUGUUAAGUCAGAUGUGAAAGCCCGGGGGCUUAACCUCGGAAUUGCAUUUGAAACUGGCAGGCUAGAGUCUUGUAGAGGGGGUAGAAUUUCAGGUGUAGCGGUGAAAUGCGUAGAGAUCUGAAGGAAUACCAGUGGCGAAGGCGGCCCCCUGGACAAAGACUGACGCUCAGAUGCGAAAGCGUGGGGAGCAAACAGGAUUAGAUACCCUGGUAGGAUAGC
This 468-nucleotide ribosomal RNA is filed under the name uncultured bacterium. RNAcentral's name for it is "bacterial SSU rRNA". It matches the Rfam family "Bacterial small subunit ribosomal RNA", at positions 335 to 800 of the family's 1533-position model. The record is from RNAcentral.